This 600-nucleotide ribosomal RNA is filed under the name uncultured Enterococcus sp. RNAcentral's name for it is "bacterial SSU rRNA". It matches the Rfam family "Bacterial small subunit ribosomal RNA", at positions 304 to 895 of the family's 1533-position model. Lineage: Bacteria; Bacillati; Bacillota; Bacilli; Lactobacillales; Enterococcaceae. The record is from RNAcentral.
UCGGCCACAUUGGGACUGAGACACGGCCCAAACUCCUACGGGAGGCAGCAGUAGGGAAUCUUCGGCAAUGGACGAAAGUCUGACCGAGCAACGCCGCGUGAGUGAAGAAGGUUUUCGGAUCGUAAAACUCUGUUGUUAGAGAAGAACAAGGAUGAGAGUAACUGUUCAUCCCUUGACGGUAUCUAACCAGAAAGCCACGGCUAACUACGUGCCAGCAGCCGCGGUAAUACGUAGGUGGCAAGCGUUGUCCGGAUUUAUUGGGCGUAAAGCGAGCGCAGGCGGUUUCUUAAGUCUGAUGUGAAAGCCCCCGGCUCAACCGGGGAGGGUCAUUGGAAACUGGGAGACUUGAGUGCAGAAGAGGAGAGUGGAAUUCCAUGUGUAGCGGUGAAAUGCGUAGAUAUAUGGAGGAACACCAGUGGCGAAGGCGGCUCUCUGGUCUGUAACUGACGCUGAGGCUCGAAAGCGUGGGGAGCAAACAGGAUUAGAUACCCUGGUAGUCCACGCCGUAAACGAUGAGUGCUAAGUGUUGGAGGGUUUCCGCCCUUCAGUGCUGCAGCUAACGCAUUAAGCACUCCGCCUGGGGAGUACGACCGCAAGGUG